UACCUACCUCUUCCCCCCGAGGGGGAUAUAGGGGGGAAACGUACCUACAACCUCCCCCCGAGGGGGACAUAGGGGGUAACGAUCCAGCUUUUUAAAGAAUGAGUUUUUAACCGGUUUUUAUCCACCGGAUUUGCACCGGUGGCUUUCAAACCUGAUUUAUUGCUCGAUUUUCUUUAAUAAAAAAUCGAGUUUUAAACUCUCAAGGGUGCCCCCACCGGGGGCCUCUUCCACAUGGGUUUAAUCCUUCUUUUCGGGCCGAGGAACAAAAUACUAUGUCUGACUCUGUCAGCCUUAGAGGGUCUAAUCUUCGUUUCUACUAAAACAGCAAUCUGCGGUUUAUGAUUCCUAAUUUAUGUCUUGAUAUCAACUCGCUUCAGGGCAACCACAACCUAACUUGCACGAUAUUCAACAACAGAUCACCAAAUAACUGCGGCUAAAAGUUUUCAGACUUGGCCCAAUUUAGGGAGCACUUGGGCCAUGUCUGCCACCUUGACAUUUUAGUUUUUUGCCUUAAACUUGCUAUUAUUUUUUUAACAUUGUUGUUGACAACACUCGAUCCCUACUUUUAUAUUUUGUAUAGUCAUCAAUAUGACUCUUUACUUCCCAUGGCUAUGCUUGCUAUUCUAGUCAAAACAUUUUCGACUAUCAUUUUACUCAUCCAUCGCUUCAUGACAUCCUGUUAUUAUUUGAGCAUAUCCUCAACUAGGUAAUCACUUGGGUUCCCCACUCUCUCUCUAGUUGAAUCAUGUCUACAAUACACGAAAAUAAUCAAUAAGCCUGAAUGGGAUCGAUUAACAUUGCUGGAAAUCACAGUCCUCAGAGGAUGUUGAAAAGUACAGCAGAAUCAUAGGAAGAAUUUGAGGCAUGACACGAGGCAGUUCUCCCCGCUGUAGGAUAUGCACUGCAUAUUUUCUGCCCCAAUAAUGCUUUUAUCUAACUUAUUCUACCCCAAUCAUGAAUCUCAUCAUAUGUGUGUAUAUUCAUGAUGCUCUCACCGAUUUUUACGCUGACCAGGUUUUUUUUCCAUCAAUGAAGAGCCACAUUACUCAUUUGUGACGAAUUAUACUGACCUGGGAGGCGCAGUUCACCAGUAUACGCUUCAGCACCGAAGGAUUCUUAGCAUCUCUCUUUCCUUGGCUCAUAGAAACACUACAGAAGGAGAAACAGGUAGAAUAAAAUAGAACACAAUAUCAGUUCGGGAAAAUCAUUCUGUCGAACCACGCUGCACAGCUUUUCCCAGAAAGAGAGAGAGAGAGAGAGAGAGAGAGAGAGAGAGAGAGCAACAACAGGAAUCGCCCCUGAAAUCACCCGUCUCAGGGCAAAAACAACAACAGAUGACCAUGGAAGAAGAAAACGACCCCCGAUCAGAGGGUGUGAACAAGAACAACGGGAAUCCCCAAGAAUCACCCGACCAAAGAUCGACUAGGAAAAUGACAGGGCGCAUCAGGAAAAUAAAACUAUCAGGAAAAACGUCGGGGCCCCUUGGAGCAACCCAGAGGCUUGCCAGAGAGGAAAUGGACGGAGAGGGCCCGUGUCAACAAAGACAAUAGAUAACCUCUUGAAUCACGAAACUCUGGACCCAUCGGCAAAGAUGCUCAUCCACGGAUUCAAAGUCGAACAAUUCAGAGGCUCACCUCCCAGAUUCGGUCCUCCUUCGCCGUCCUCUCCAGACCCAAAUCCGCCGGAGUGAGACUGCAGAUCCUCCGUCCUCAGUGAGGCUCCCCCCCACCUUCCUCCUACCUUCCGGUCGCCGGGCUUCCCGGGAAGUCCAAAUACCCGUUGGCCCAAGACGGAGAGCGUUUGGAAC
RNAcentral lists this long non-coding RNA (1807 nucleotides) under Spirodela polyrhiza (greater duckweed). RNAcentral describes it as "long non-coding RNA (SPOL_LNC001906)". The record is from RNAcentral. Lineage: Eukaryota; Viridiplantae; Streptophyta; Magnoliopsida; Alismatales; Araceae.